RNAcentral lists this ribosomal RNA (185 nucleotides) under Colletotrichum orbiculare. The record is from RNAcentral. Lineage: Eukaryota; Fungi; Ascomycota; Sordariomycetes; Glomerellales; Glomerellaceae.
AAAAGGGAAGCGCUUGUGACCAGACUUGCGCCGGCGGAUCACCGGCUCUCGCGGCCGGGGCACUCCGCCGGCUCAGGCCAGCAUCAGCUCGCUGUCGGGGACAAAAGCUUCGGGAACGUGGCUCCUCCGGGGAGUGUUAUAGCCCGUUGCACAAUACCUUCGGUGGGCUGAGGUACGCCGUCCGC